CCAAACUUGGUCCCAAUUUUAAUGCUAAGUUCUUUUUAUGCCCUCCAGGACUUUGUGGAGGAACCAAGGAAGCUCUAGAGCAGAGGUUCUCAACCUGUGAGUCUCAACCCUUUUGGGGGUCAUAUAUCAGAGAUUUACAUUACAAUUCAUAGCAGUAGUAAAAUUAUACUUAUGAAGUAGCAAUGGAAUAAUUUUAUGGUCAGGGAUCACCACAGCAUGAGGAACUGUAUUAAAGGGUCACAGCAUUAGGAAGGCUGAGAAUCAUUUUUCUGACUCACAUGGAAUUCUCUAGUGAACACCUCUUUGUCUUCAUUUUUGCCUGGACUCUGCUAGCUCCAUGGGCUGUGAUCAAUCUCUUUAGAAGCAUCCACCUUGAUGACUCAUCAUCCUUCAGAAGUCCCUGAAAGAUGCAUCUGUAUUCUCAUGGGGAGACUGGCUUUGUAGAAUCCACUAGACACUUCUGGGCUGAGUCUUCUGAAUGGUUUUGCAGUAGCCAAGUCCAGGCUUCCUGCCCUGGGCCAGGCUAUGCUGAGACUGUAAAGCCAGCAAUCAUCCUGGCUCUCAGGAAAGACGGUGUGUCCUAGAAGUCUAAACUGGCCGCCACUGGUGAUGGUUAGUGUUAGUGUCUGGAUGUGUAGAAAACCAUAGAAAUGUUUACACACAAUCCUAAGCUUGGUGGCGGAAUGAAACUGAAGCAGCUCUGUUAACGUGAGGCUGCCUUUGUGUCCUAUGCAGUUUGGUUUUCAUAGGAUCUUGUCCUUGUAGAAUAAUUUUGGAGCACUUCUGUCUUAGGGUUUCCAUUGCUGUAAAGCCACCAUGACCAAAGCAGCUCUUAUAAGGACAACAUCUAAUUGGGCCUGGCUUACAUGUUCAGAGGUUCAGUCUAUUAUCAUCAAGGUAGGAACAUGGCAGCAUCCAGGUAGGCAUGGUGCAGGAGGAGCUAGGCAUUCAACAUCUUGUUCCAAGGCAAAUAGGAGAAGACUGGCUCCCAUGUGGCUAGGAGAAGGGUCUCAAAGCCCACCCUGACAGUGACACCCUUCCUUCAACAAAGCCACACCUACUCCAACAAGGCCACACCUCCUAAUAGUACCACUCCCUGGGCCAAACAUGUACAAACCACCACAUUUUCUAACCAGCAUGUCGUGAGAGGAGGCAUCUGUCCUGUCGAUAGUGGGAUUUUUAGAUUUUUUUUUUUUUGAAGCUGGGUUUCCUCCCAGCUGGUACUGACCCACUCCAAGGCUUCUGGUUUGCCCAUGCAUUUUUUUCAUUCCUCGGUUUCAAGAAACAAUCCAGAGGUCCCUCAGUAGACAAACACAGCUUUCAGUCAGCAUGCAAUGGAAUAUUACAGAUUAGUGAAAAGGCACAAGCUGUGGCAGAUUGACCAACAGAGGUGAGUGUCAAAUAUGCCAAGCAGGAGUUCACACUCUAGGUUCAUUUCUGUUUAGUCAAGCAAAGGUGAAAGCACUGUGCGUGACAGGCUUCAGGCAUGUGACCCUGGGGCCUGGGGUCAGCACCUCCCUACAGGAGGCUCCAGGGAACAUUAAGUAGGUGGUUACAGAUAUUUUCUUUCUUGGUGCAGGCAGCAUUGACACAACAGUGUACCUGAACUCCUAGGCAUACAAAUGCUGACUGCAUUUGCUUUGUUGUUUAUGGAGAUAGAGUCUCAUGUAUCCCAUGCUGGCCUCCAACUUGCUAUGUAGCUGAGGAUACCCCUGACUCUCACUCUUCCAGGUACUGGGAUAACAUAAUCACACCACACAGCAUUUUGUGUGGUGCUUGGUGUCAGAUCCAGGGCUCUGUGCAUGUUUGGCAAGCAUUCUACUAACCGAGCCACAUCCUAGUCUAAUCAUACUGAUUUUAGAAAUUAUUUACCUUUUAUAUGUUCAAAUACCAUAGAGAAUAAUAUUUUCAUGAAAUUCCACAACAUAUUAAACAAGAUUUUAAGAUAAUUUAUUCCAUGAUCUAACUACAUGUGCACAUGUAGAAUAUGUGUAACCAUAUGAUUAUCAUGUAAUCUGGUUUCAUGUACACACACAUGUAUGUUUCCAUGUACACACGUGUAUUGUUUGAAAUAUCCCAGGGUUUGAACAAAAUGUACCCUGUAAUUACCUUGUGAGCAAUUUCUGUUUUCUUUUUUAUGCUUUUCUAUAUUACCAGAUGUUCCUUAAUGAACACUUUUAUAUUCACAAACAAAUUAAAUAAAAUCAAGCAUAUCUCCUUUCCUGUUUUGCCAACUCCAGCAGAUCUGGGAGGUGGAACUGGACUCCGAGAUGGGAUUCAGAGAACACCCCAACUCCAUCAAAGUGAGAUGGCUGCAGGGAAAAUGGCUUUGGUCUGGAACACCCAACCCUCUGCCCUUGGCUUUGUCCCUACUGAGCCCUGCAGAGCUAACGUGCUCUGUGGGCAAGGGGAGCCCGGAGAGCCCUGUCCCAGGCAGACCUUUCUGAUUGCAGGGCUGACCUCCGGCCAUGUGCACCUCUCUGGGAACAGCUGCCUUCUGUAUUGCCCUGCCCAGCAUAGGGUUUGGGUUCAGAUCUUGUUGGUCACCCUGACACCUCAAGGGCUAGAGGCAAUAGCACUGACAACACAGGUGGGACGAGCCUGUGUCAGUGA
Molecule: long non-coding RNA, 2613 nt
Filed under: Mus musculus (house mouse)
Lineage: Eukaryota; Metazoa; Chordata; Mammalia; Rodentia; Muridae
Description: long non-coding RNA chr15:85638303-85640916
Source: RNAcentral